GGUUGUAAAGCACUUUCAAUUGGGAGGAAAAGCUGAAGGUUAAUACCCUUUGGUCUUGACGUUACCAGUAGAAGAAGCACCGGCUAACUCCGUGCCAGCAGCCGCGGUAAUACGGAGGGUGCAAGCGUUAAUCGGAAUUACUGGGCGUAAAGCGCGCGUAGGUGGUUUGUUAAGUCGGAUGUGAAAGCCCCGGGCUCAACCUGGGAAUUGCAUUCGAUACUGGCAGACUAGAGUAUGGUAGAGGGAAGUGGAAUUCCAGGUGUAGCGGUGAAAUGCGUAGAUAUCUGGAGGAACAUCAGUGGCGAAGGCGACUUCCUGGACUAAUACUGACACUGAGGUGCGAAAGCGUGGGUAGCAAACAGGAUUAGAUACCCUGGUAGUCCACGCCGUAAACGAUGUCAACUAGUUGUUGGGAGGGUUAGACCUCUUAGUGACGCAGCUAACGCAUUAAGUUGACCGCCUGGGGAGUACGAUCGC
RNAcentral lists this ribosomal RNA (477 nucleotides) under uncultured Thioalkalispira sp. Its description in RNAcentral is "bacterial SSU rRNA". It matches the Rfam family "Bacterial small subunit ribosomal RNA", at positions 421 to 889 of the family's 1533-position model. Lineage: Bacteria; Pseudomonadati; Pseudomonadota; Gammaproteobacteria; Chromatiales; Thioalkalispiraceae. The record is from RNAcentral.